Molecule: non-coding RNA, 813 nt
Organism: Camelina sativa (false flax)
Lineage: Eukaryota; Viridiplantae; Streptophyta; Magnoliopsida; Brassicales; Brassicaceae
Source: RefSeq, a predicted model, not a curated record
UAUGGGUUUCGGUGGGAUUUCUAUUAAGCUUUUAUUUUAAAGAGAAAGGUGUAUGUUUGUUAAACAAUUGGGAAUCGAGACAUUUUUUCAUCAACAUCGUUUCCAUCGUUUCAUCUCCAAUUGGGAAUCGUUCAAUCUUUUCAUCUCCAUCUUCUCACGAUCAAAUUUUCAGAAAAGAGAGUAAAAUCAAGUUCAAUACUUCUGCAAUCAACCGAAUCUUGAAGAGAAAACAAAAAAUUGUGAAAUGAGAGAAGCUCCGAUUAGUCGAAUCAAUUGGGUUUGUCUAUGAAGAUGAUGGUGCUAUCAAUCGGUUGAUUCAGUUUUCACCCAUGGCUUUAGCGAUCCGAUUUAUGUAAACCAAUUGGAUUGUACAUGUGAAAGCCUAUACUAUCAACCGAAGGAUAUAUAUAAAGACAUCAUGAUAUUCGUAAGAUAAGUAGUUGUUUCUUAAAAUGUUUUUAAUUGUUUUUUAUUGGAAUAUUACAUCUUUACUGAUUAAUUUGUUUUGCAAUUUAAUCCAGGAAAUGAAAUGAGAAGUACUUCCAGUAACCCAGUUUAUUACAAUAGAGUAUAAUGACAUGAAGCCAUAAACAGAGAUUGAUUAACGUUUUUUGGAGGAAGACUUAUUGAUAAGAGAGGAUAAGUUUUAGCAGAGAAAAAAUUGAAGCUUCGUCAAUGACCUUCUCAAAGUCAACCAGUUGGAGGAACAUGUCAUUAGUCAAGGACGCACAUGGCACCAUGGAGGUGAUGUUGAUCAACGUCAUACGAUCUGUGGUAGGGACGUUCUCGGCAGCCAUUGGAGAAGGUUUGAAA